GUGGGGAAUAUUGCACAAUGGGCGCAAGCCUGAUGCAGCAACGCCGCGUGAGGGAUGACGGCCUUCGGGUUGUAAACCUCUUUUAGUAGGGAAGAAGCGUAAGUGACGGUACCUGCAGAAAAAGCACCGGCUAACUACGUGCCAGCAGCCGCGGUAAUACGUAGGGUGCAAGCGUUGUCCGGAAUUAUUGGGCGUAAAGAGCUCGUAGGCGGCUUGUCGCGUCUGCUGUGAAAACCCGAGGCUCAACCUCGGGCUUGCAGUGGGUACGGGCAGGCUAGAGUGCGGUAGGGGAGAUUGGAAUUCCUGGUGUAGCGGUGGAAUGCGCAGAUAUCAGGAGGAACACCGAUGGCGAAGGCAGAUCUCUGGGCCGUAACUGACGCUGAGGCGCGAAAGCGUGGGGAGCAAACAGGAUUAGAAACCCCAGUAGUCC
Molecule: ribosomal RNA, 430 nt
Filed under: uncultured bacterium
Lineage: Bacteria
Description: partial 16S ribosomal RNA
Rfam family: Bacterial small subunit ribosomal RNA
Source: RNAcentral